ACCCUGCAGGGGGGAGAACGCCGCGGAAAGCGGCGCUAAGACCGCGUACGCUCAUUCUGGGAGAGUGGAGUGAGGAAAACCGCAAGGUGCUGCAGGAGGGGCUUCCGGCCCAUCAGGUAGUUGGUGAGGUAACGGCCCACCAAGCCGAUGACGGGUCGCUGGUCUAAGAGGAUGAUCAGCCAGACUGGGACUGAGACACGGCCCAG
Molecule: ribosomal RNA, 206 nt
Filed under: uncultured bacterium
Lineage: Bacteria
Description: partial 16S ribosomal RNA
Rfam family: Bacterial small subunit ribosomal RNA
Source: RNAcentral